UCCCACUGGCUCUGCAGCCCCCGCGCACCCCACUCCACCCGUGACCCGCCAGGUCCCAGUGACCUUGCAGUUUUCGCUGAUCCUCAUCCCCGCCCGGACCGUCUGCCGCCCUUUCCUAGACGUUAAUUUCGUGGUUGGCCCAUCGUUUUGCCACGGUGGAGGGAUCCGCGUGUGCCAGUCCGUUCGGUCCAGUCUUUACCCCGUGGGCCGGGAGUGGACCUGCCUUCGUCCCGUGGUGACCAGACGAGCCCGCGGUCUGUCCUGUGGACAUUUUACUCUUCGGGGCUUGACGGACUGGCUUGCUCUGUUGAGUUUUCCUGGGACUGUCUGCGGACCCCUCUCGGUUCCAGGUGCCGCAGCGCUGGUGAGGCUGAGGGAUGAAUUGGGCGCCUGGAGAGCAGGUAUGCCCUACAUCACUCCUUCCUCCAUUCAGGAGAAAGCCUUUACCAACUAAAAAUGUAAACUUGACAAAAUAAACGGAGGGCUGGGACAUAGUGCGUUUUCUCACUGGAUUAUGUCGUCAACUCUCCCCAGUAUGGUUACAGCAUAAUUUGAUUAGUAAACAGUUGACUUUUCUGCAUCUAUAGGAAUGUCUUCUUGGUAGAAUCAGAAAAAGUUAUUAGUAUUUUUUUUAGCUUUAGAAAUUUUGAUUCCGUAAUUAUUAGAAAGA
Molecule: long non-coding RNA, 670 nt
Organism: Myotis davidii
Lineage: Eukaryota; Metazoa; Chordata; Mammalia; Chiroptera; Vespertilionidae
Exons: 3
Source: RefSeq, a predicted model, not a curated record